Molecule: long non-coding RNA, 217 nt
Filed under: Ananas comosus (pineapple)
Lineage: Eukaryota; Viridiplantae; Streptophyta; Magnoliopsida; Poales; Bromeliaceae
Description: long non-coding RNA (ACOM_LNC019244)
Source: RNAcentral
UUUUAGGAAAAAGUUGAGAAUGAAUCAGUAAAAGAGUUAUAUUACUGAUGCGGUGUUUCCAGUUAAUCGGAAUGUUUCUUUUUGUUUCGUCCAUUCUAUAAUGAUUAAUAAAAAAAUAUUUUUAGUAUUAUUAUUAUUAUUUUUUUCAAAAAAUGAGAUGUGAUUGGCUGAUUAUAAAAAAUUUUAUUGCCAAUUUUUUUAAAAAAUUAGGUGUUAC